GACGAACGCUGGCGGCGUGCCUAAUACAUGCAAGUAGAACGCUGAAGGAGGAGCUUGCUUCUCCGGAUGAGUUGCGAACGGGUGAGUAACGCGUAGGUAACCUGCCUGGUAGCGGGGGAUAACUAUUGGAAACGAUAGCUAAUACCGCAUAACAGUAGAUGUUGCAUGACAUUUGCUUAAAAGGUGCAAUUGCAUCACUACCAGAUGGACCUGCGUUGUAUUAGCUAGUUGGUGAGGUAACGGCUCACCAAGGCGACGAUACAUAGCCGACCUGAGAGGGUGAUCGGCCACACUGGGACUGAGACACGGCCCAGACUCCUACGGGAGGCAGCAGUAGGGAAUCUUCGGCAAUGGACGGAAGUCUGACCGAGCAACGCCGCGUGAGCGAAGAAGGGUUUCGGAUCGUAAAGCUCGGUUGUAAGAGAAGAACGAGUGUGAGAGUGGAAAGUUCACACUGUGACGGUAGCUUACCAGAAAGGGACGGCUAACUACGUG
Molecule: ribosomal RNA, 495 nt
Filed under: uncultured bacterium
Lineage: Bacteria
Description: partial 16S ribosomal RNA
Rfam family: Bacterial small subunit ribosomal RNA
Source: RNAcentral